RNAcentral lists this ribosomal RNA (670 nucleotides) under uncultured Serratia sp. Its description in RNAcentral is "bacterial SSU rRNA". It matches the Rfam family "Bacterial small subunit ribosomal RNA", at positions 843 to 1516 of the family's 1533-position model. The record is from RNAcentral. Lineage: Bacteria; Pseudomonadati; Pseudomonadota; Gammaproteobacteria; Enterobacterales; Yersiniaceae.
CUUCCGGAGCUAACGCGUUAAUCGACCGCUUGGGGAGUACGGCCGCAAGGUUAAAACUCAAAUGAAUUGACGGGGGCCCGCACAAGCGUGGAGCAUGUGGUUUAAUUCGAUGCAACGCGAAGAACCUACCUACUCUUGACAUCCAGAGAACUUUCCAGAGAUGGAUUGGUGCCUUCGGGAACUCUGAGACAGGUGCUGCAUGGCUGUCGUCAGCUCGUGUUGUGAAAUGUUGGGUUAAGUCCCGCAACGAGCGCAACCCUUAUCCUUUGUUGCCAGCGGUUCGGCCGGGAACUCAAAGGAGACUGCCAGUGAUAAACUGGAGGAAGGUGGGGAUGACGUCAAGUCAUCAUGGCCCUUACGAGUAGGGCUACACACGUGCUACAAUGGCAUAUACAAAGAGAAGCGACCUCGCGAGAGCAAGCGGACCUCAUAAAGUAUGUCGUAGUCCGGAUUGGAGUCUGCAACUCGACUCCAUGAAGUCGGAAUCGCUAGUAACCGUAGAUCAGAAUGCUACGGUGAAUACGUUCCCGGGCCUUGUACACACCGCCCGUCACACCAUGGGAGUGGGUUGCAAAAGAAGUAGGUAGCUUAACCUUCGGGAGGGCGCUUACCACUUUGUGAUUCAUGACUGGGGUGAAGUCGUAACAAGGUAACCAAGGGCGAAUUCCAG